ACCGCAAAACCCAAAGACCCACUUAGGUGUCCCCUCUCUCCGCAGAAGAGAGAGCUUUUCCCUUUCUCUCUGUUAAACCUCUUCUCUUAAACUCACUUCUUGCGUGUCCUCGUCCUCGAUUUCCUUGGCGUAAGACGACGAACCUCAGGCAUUUACCCCAGACAACGAAGGUGCUUCAUAAGGUCAUGCAGCUGGGUCAACAUAGGACUGUGUAGCCAAGAGCUACAGGAUGGAUUGCUGAGGCCAGGGAGAUUGAAAGGAAGUCACAGCCCAAUCUCAGAGGGAUCCACGGAGCCAGCGAAAGCUAAGGCGGGACUUACCCAACAGAGGGUCCUGGCCCAGUCACCCAGUGGCACAACCCAACUGGGAGAUCUGAGCAUCUACCAACUGUGGCCACCAGUGAGAUGGUGUCAUUGUCUGGGAGGCCAGCAGAAGUCUCAGUGAUCGGGCAGGACAAAGGACAUUUCUGCAGAGAAUACUGAAGGUCCAGGAGACAGCACAGUGGGACAUAUGUGGGCCCCUGCCCCAUCAUUAGGAGGAAGUGUAGGCUUUUCUGAGGACCUGGAUGCCAUACCAUCUUGAGACAGAGAAUGAGGAACCAACCCUUGACAAGAGAGAGAUGGCCCUGGUAGAGAAUUUGAACCUUGAAUUGGAUUGAAUAUUUAUCCAAAAGAAAUUGAACCAGCACUAGAGAGACUGUUUUGAACUAGAAGUAACCAAGUUACCUUAACUGGAAGUUAGGAUUUUUCCACCCCUGACAUCAGUGGGACAAGGGCACAUGAGCAAGAUAUUUACGGACAAAGAAGAACGUUCAUGUUUUGUACACCUGCUUUGUAGUAUGUUGCAGAUACCGUUGGUUCCCCUGAUUUCAGGUGUUCUCGUUCUUUCUGUACAGUCACUUGCUCAGGGCAAAUGGUCCUCUCCUGCAUGACUCAGAAGCACAUACUGAUUAUUCUAAACUGGUCUUCAUGCCCCGUUCCCUUGUCAGUGAUGUAGUUAGGCAAAGGAUUAUGUAACAAUUCUGGCUAUGAGACAUUGAAACUUCUACUGUGGGGCAUCUGGGAAGAUUUUUCUCAUUGAAAAGAAGAGACGCAGGGUGUGGAGACUCAUGCCUGUAAUCCGAGCCCUUGGGAGGCCCAGGAGGGAGGGUCACCUGAGUCCAAGAGCUCAAGGCCAGUUCGAGCAACAUACCAAGGCUGCAAUAAACAAGCAAACAAACAAACAAACAUUAGCUGGGCACGGUAGUGCACACCUGUAGUCCCAGCUACUCAGGAGGCUGAAAUGGGAGGAUUGCUUGAGCCCAGGAGUUUGAGGCUGCAGUGAGCUAUGAUUGCACCACUGCACUUCAGCCUGGGCAACAGAGCGAGAUCCUGUCUCUAUAAAAAAAUUUUAAAAAAAGGAAGAAAAGAAAAGAAGAGACACACGUGGAAGAAACAGUCUCUAUUCUGAUGCAAGUAAUGACUGGAACUGUGGCAGACAGCUUGGAACCAUGAGAGGAGUUAACUGAGGGCUAUCAGGGAAACUAGAAGAAGCCUGGGUCCUUGAGGAGGCAGACUACUAAAUGGACCAUCGUCCCUUCACCCUUUUUGUUAUGUGAGAUAAUAAACUCUCUAAUUUAAAUCUACUUGAGAUGAAUAUCUGAUACUUGUAGCCAAAAUCAUCCUUAAUGGGACAGAGUGUGGGUAAAUUAUCAACCUUGCUAGCCUUGCCUCAUAAUUUUUGAAUUUAUUUUUAUCUUUUAAUUUUGUUUAUUUUUUAUUUUUAAAGUAGAGACAGGAUCUCAUUAUGUUGCUCAGGCUGGUCUCGAAUCCCUGGCCUCAAGGGAUCCUCCUGCCUCAGCCUCCUAAAGUGCUGAGAUUACAGGUAUGAGCCCCUAUGCCAGGCCAUUGCUUUGCCAUUGUAUCCAUGUGAUUGCAAAAAAGAAAAUCGUGCUAAUAGUCAUUAGCUUUGAAAGACACUUGGAAUUUCUUCCUUCAAGCGAGCUUUAUUCCCAAACUGUUGAACCCUCUGGGUUUGACAGCAGGAUCUACUUCACAUGGUAGCAUCUCCUUCUAUUUGCCUUCAAGACAUUUCCUAAGGGAAGAGAUGAAGACACACUUGUAACGUGAACAAAAUAAUCCUUUUUCCUUUUAAAAAUGUAUGAUUAAAAUGUAAAAUAUAUAUAUAUAUUCUUAAAUGUAAAAUAUAUAUAUAUAUCUUCUAGAGUUGCCUGGAAAGUGAGCUGAGAGCAGUUAAACAUCAAACCCACUGCUGCUUUCCAGCUUUAACCAGAAUCACCAUUGUCUUUCCCUAUGAAAGAAAGGAAAUCUUAGAACUUAAAAGGAUUUCAAGAAGAACUGAAUUUUAACCACUGAGAUGACCAGAGAUGUAAGGCUCACACUGACUGAAGCAGUAUAAUUUGGCUGUCUUUUUAACAUUCAGAAUUCUCUCUGACUCUCCAAAAUUGCAUCUACUUUGAUGAGCUUAUUUUUUUCCUCAACCAAAUUACAUUUCUUGGAGUUCACCUGAUACAUCAUGCCUACUUACUUUUUUUUUUAGAUGGAGUCUUGCUCUGUCACCCAGGCUGGAGUGCAGUGGUGCAAUCUCGGCUCAUUGCAACCUCUGCCUCCCAGGUUCAAGUGAUUCUCCUGCCUCAGCCCCCCAAGUAGCUGGGAUUACAGGUGCGUGCCACCACGCCCAGCUAAUUUUUGUAUUUUUAGUAGAGACAGGGUUUCGCCAUGUUGGUCAGGCUGGUCUCGAACUCCUGACCUCAAGUGACCCACCUGCCUUGGCCUCCCAAAGCGCUGGGAUUACAGGGGUAAGCCACCAUGUCCAGCCCUGCCUACUUACUUUGAACAAAUUAUUUCAGGCUAAUUUACUAGCUGGAGAGAAAGAGGGAGGGAAGCAGGGAGGAAGCAAAGAUAGAGGGAGAGAAAGAGAGGGAGACAGAGAGGAAGAGGGAGAGGGAGAGGAGAGAGAGAGAAAGAAUGAAUUGUGUUCUCCCAAAAUUAGUAUGUUGAAGUCUUAAUAUCCCAGUACCUCAGACUAUGACUGUAUCUGUAGAUAGGGCUUUUGAAAAGGUGAUUAUGUUUAAAUGAGGCCAUUGGGGUGGGCCCUAAUCCAGUCCAACUGUUGUCAUUGUAAGAAGAAGAGAUUAGGACACAGAGAUACCAGGCAUGUGCGUGCCCAGACAGACAACUAUGUGAAGAGACAACAAUAGGUCAGCCAUCUGCAAGCUGAGGAGAGAGGCCUCAGAGGAAACCAACCCUGCCGGCACCUUGAUCUUGGAGUUCCAGCCUCCAGAACUGUGAGAAAAUGUAUUCCUGUUGUUGAAGCCAUUUCUGUUGUUCUGUGGCAUUUUGUUAUGGCAGCCCUAGCAAACUAAUAUGAUAAUUAACUCUUCCAAGUGCUGUUUCCAUUACAAAGUAUCCCAGAAUUUUAUAUUGGUGAAUCUGUGUUCCUCAGGCCAUGUCUUCCCUGUUGGAAAUGCUGUUAUUAUGUCCCAAGGUGACUUCAAGGAGUGGGUUAGAGGCUGAGACAGAGGGUGUGAGAUCGUCACUACUGUAACCUUGCUUUGUUCAGUAUGAACAUGCUCAGAUAUUCUCUGUUUUGUAUUGGGAGAUCGGGAAAGGAUUUAUUGAAAAAAUGUUUCCAUUAGCAAAUGAAGUUUGAAGGCAACUACCGUCUACAAGAGCAAACAAAUGCAUAAAAUUCAAAUAUUAUUUUGUCCCAACCUCAGUGUCAUGAGGGUCUCUUAUACAGAAUAGUAGAUGAGAAUAAAAUUUGAAUUGAUAAUACUGGAAUAGAGUAGUCAUUAUGCAAUGUAACAAACCUCAAAUAUUCAGUGGUUUAACACUAUAGAUGUUUAUUUACCACUCAUUCAAUGUAUGUGUUCCUUGUUAGCAGUAGUUUUCCUUGUAGUCAUUCAGGAAUCCAGGCAUAUUAGUUAUCUAUUUCUGUGUACCCCAUAAAAACCAUUUAUUAUUGCACACUUUCAGAGGGUCAGUAAUUUGGGAGUGGCUUAGCUGGGGUGUUCUGACCAGAGUCUCUCUUGAGGUUGUAGUCAAGAUGUUGGCUAGGGUUGCCAUCAUCUGAAAGCUUGACUGGGACUGUAUCCACUUUCAAGAUGGCGCACUUACUUGGCUGUUGGCAGGAAGCCUCAAUGACUUAUCAUGUGGUCUUCUCCACAGUGCUGCUUGAGCAUCCACACAACAUGGCGCUAGCUUCCCCCAGAGGCCGCCUGAAAGCUUGUACAAGUGCCUGAGGAAAGCCGGAUUUGGCAGGCUGCAACCACGGUGGAUGACAGCUGAAGGAGAAUUACAGCAGCAGCAGUUAAGUAGAAGAUGUUCACACUUCCUCGCUCUGCAUCUUUCUUCCUGGAGCCCAACACCUCGGAGGAGAAUGGGAAACCCAGAAGAAGGAGUGGGAAGUAGGGUUGCCACAUAAAAUAUAGGACUCUCAGUUACAUUUGAAUUUCAGAUAAGCAGCAGAUUAUUUCUUAGUAUAAGUAUGUGCCAGUAUGUGUGUAUGUGCACACAUAUGUGCACAUGUAUGCAUGCAUCAGCUAGAUUCUGCAACCAUCAGAGAAAUAGACAAAGGUCCUUUUGACCAGUGGUCAAACUGAGCUAUGAGGAGAAGAUCUUGAAAUUGCAUGUGAUAUUGAAGCUUUAAACUUACUGAGUUGCUUGUGUUAGGCUUUUAAAUACCGUAAUGGGACUAAAAACUAUGUUUCUAAGAGAGAGGAAUAUUUGGGAGUACAGCUGACCCUUGAACAAUGCAAGGCUUAGAGGCAUUGUCAAAAAUCCACAUGUAACUUUUGAC
This 4800-nucleotide long non-coding RNA is filed under the name Homo sapiens (human). RNAcentral describes it as "PREDICTED lncRNA (TCONS_00101952)". The stretch from base 1232 to 1379 matches the Rfam family "Metazoan signal recognition particle RNA". The record is from RNAcentral. Lineage: Eukaryota; Metazoa; Chordata; Mammalia; Primates; Hominidae.